This 623-nucleotide long non-coding RNA is filed under the name Marmota monax (woodchuck). The record is from RNAcentral. Lineage: Eukaryota; Metazoa; Chordata; Mammalia; Rodentia; Sciuridae.
GUGGAUGAGGCAGAUAAGAUUCCCAUUUGACGGGCAGCCAAUUAAUGAAAUAGACACACCUGCACAGUUGGAAAUGGAGGAUGAAGAGACAAUUAAUGUGUUCCAGCAGCAGACAGGAGGUGUCUACUAAAAAGGGAACUUGCUACUUUACUCCAGAACUCUGUUCUUACAGACCAAGAAUACAUUCUCAAUUAGAAAACUGCAAUUGGUUCCACCACAUCCUGACUACUAUAGGAUAGUUUUCUCUCUUCUUUCAUUUUCCCCUUCCCCAUUCCUUUAUUGUACAUAAAGUAAUUGGUGUAUGUGCACAAGAAUAUUGCAUUUUUUUAAACUAAAUGGCCAAUGAUAUGUUUUGAUUGACAUCAAAUGAAGAUGGGAUGGGGAAAAAUACUGGUUCUGUGAAAAUAUCCCCUUUCUCCAUUAGUGGUGUGCUCAUUCAGCCUUAUCUUUAUAUUCCAGUGAGUUAUUUUGCUCUCACUGUUUUAACAAAAAUAAAAAAGAAAAGAAAAACCUGAACACAUAAAAAUCCUUGCACACCUUGUUCAAUUGGAGAAUUUUAAUGUUUUUCAUUUAUCAUUGUAAAACCAAAGACAAUUGAAUAACAUUUUUGGACGUAGCUGUUA